Molecule: ribosomal RNA, 32 nt
Filed under: Canna indica (Indian-shot)
Lineage: Eukaryota; Viridiplantae; Streptophyta; Magnoliopsida; Zingiberales; Cannaceae
Description: partial 18S ribosomal RNA
Source: RNAcentral
UUUCCGUAGGUGAACCUGCGGAAGGACCAUUG